CAAAAGAUGUGGUUCUAUUGACUACUUACUCAGGGACUACCCUGAGCUAACCGAUAAAGAGGUGGAAGUAGCUCCGAAGUAGAGUGCUCCUAUUCCACGAGGUAGAUCUCCGAGGUAUCCUAGAAGUGCUAGUAGCUGUCAAGUUGUGGCCAAAGAAAUUGCAAAAUUAGAGGAUCGAUCCCCGGCUAGAACAUAUGCAAUACGCGCUUGAGAGGAAGCCUUUGCUCCUGACAUCAUCAU
This 240-nucleotide long non-coding RNA is filed under the name Gossypium barbadense (sea-island cotton). Its description in RNAcentral is "long non-coding RNA (GBAR_LNC007051)". The record is from RNAcentral. Lineage: Eukaryota; Viridiplantae; Streptophyta; Magnoliopsida; Malvales; Malvaceae.